AUUGAACGCUGGCGGCAUGCCUUACACAUGCAAGUCGAACGGCAGCACGGGUGCUUGCACCUGGUGGCGAGUGGCGAACGGGUGAGUAAUACAUCGGAACAUGUCCUGUAGUGGGGGAUAGCCCGGCGAAAGCCGGAUUAAUACCGCAUACGAUCUACGGAUGAAAGCGGGGGACCUUCGGGCCUUGCGCUAUAGGGUUGGCCGAUGGCUGAUUAGCUAGUUGGUGGGGUAAAGGCCUACCAAGGCGACGAUCAGUAGCUGGUCUGAGAGGAGGACCAGCCACACUGGGACUGAGACACAGCCCAGACUCCUACGGGAGGCAGCAGUGGGGAAUUUUGGACAAUGGGCGAAAGCCUGAUCCAGCAAUGCCGCGUGUGUGAAGAAGGCCUUCGGGUUGUAAAGCGCUUUUGUCCGGAAAGAAAUCCUUGGCCCUAAUACGGUCGGGGGAUGACGGUACCGGAAGAAUAAGCACCGGCUAACUACGUG
This 486-nucleotide ribosomal RNA is filed under the name uncultured bacterium. RNAcentral describes it as "partial 16S ribosomal RNA". It matches the Rfam family "Bacterial small subunit ribosomal RNA", at positions 30 to 507 of the family's 1533-position model. The record is from RNAcentral.